GAAGUGACGCGUUAGAUACAGUUGGACGCCAUCACCAGUGUCUGUCAGAAGGCUGGAGAUAUAUGGGACACUACCUUCUGCAUGGAAAAUUGCCACCAUAAUCCCCGUCCUGGAACCCGGAAAGGAAGCCUCUUGUCCUGCCAGUUAUCGUCCCAUCGCGCUGACAAGCUGCAUAGGAAAAACCUUCGAGCGAAUGAAUUUCAGUGUGGGUUUCGAAUGGGGUGCUCCACCAUGGACCACCUCGUUCGUCUAGAAUCAACCAUCCGUGGAGCUUUUGUCAGGAGACAACACUGCUUGUCAGUUUUCUUUGACUUGGAGAAAGCAUACGACACUGCGUGGCGAUAUGGCAUCCUACAGGAUCUCCAUUCGUUCGGUAUACGGGGUCGUCUCUUUAAAUGUAUUGCUGAUUUCCUACAACACAGAACAUUCAGAGUU
This is a long non-coding RNA of Ornithodoros turicata, 435 nucleotides long. RefSeq lists it as uncharacterized. The record is from RefSeq and is a predicted model, not a curated record. The transcript has 3 exons. Lineage: Eukaryota; Metazoa; Arthropoda; Arachnida; Ixodida; Argasidae.